Molecule: long non-coding RNA, 5917 nt
Organism: Hypanus sabinus (Atlantic stingray)
Lineage: Eukaryota; Metazoa; Chordata; Chondrichthyes; Myliobatiformes; Dasyatidae
Exons: 3
Source: RefSeq, a predicted model, not a curated record
CGCCAGCGCCCCCAGCAGGCGCGGAGCGCGUUGGUGGCGGCGGCGGGGCAGCGCGGCGCGGCCGGCGAGCACGGGCCCUUUCUUCUUUUUCCUUUCUUCUGCUUGCUUGUCAAGGCCCGAGAGGAACCAUUAUUUCAAAGAAAACUUGACCUAAGAAAAUAAUUAUACAAGGGUUCUUUUGAAGACUCUGACCCGGAGUUACACGUUCUUUGCGGGAAUGGGACCCGCUCUCGGGGUUUCACGACUGGCCGUUGUUCGAUAUGCCAAGUGCGUGGCCUAAGAGCUUUGCUGGUCUUCACCAGUCCAGGAUCUCAUGGCUCUGGAGACAGGCGGACCGAAGGUUGGUGUCUCUGCAGGAAUCCGGUGUGUCAUGGGAGAUGGAAGAUCAAAAGCUGCAAGCUGGCUGCAGGCUGUGUGUGUCCAGAGACCCGAGCUCUUUGGGCACAGAGCUCAGAAAAAGUGACACAACAGACUUUUAACAUCGUAAAUCAGCGAGUUGUUUGUUCUGUCUCCCUUCUCGCUGUGAAACAGAGACACCUCUUUCUCCCUUAUUAGAGAGAGAGGGAGAGCCUGUGGUAUGUCAAAUACCGGGUGAACAAGUAGUCAUUGGGGUACUGCAAGUCUAUGUCUUUGCUGAUGAUUUGCUGCACACUUCAGUGCUCGGCGGUGGGGGCUGUUGCUUUUUUCUGCUGGUGGGGGGAGGGGGAUUGUUGCUUGCUGCCGCUUACGCAUGGGAGGGGUGAACUGGGGGUGGGGCUUUUGGGUUCUAACAUUUAACUCAUUCAUUCUUUGGGGGCACUCCUCUGUUAUCGUGGAUGGUUGCGAGAAAAAAGUAUAUUGUAUACAUUUCUCUGACAUUAAACUGUACCUUUGAAACCUUUGAAGGUCUUGGGAAGCUAAAAUGUCUGAAGGUAGGUAAGGCACCUGGAACAGAUGGAGUAUACCCCAGGGUUCUGAAAGAAGAAACUGAAGAGAUUGUGGGAGCAUUAAUAAUGAUCUUUCAAGAUUCAAAAAAUUGCAAAUCUCACUCCACUCUUCAAGAAGGGAAGGAGGCAAAAGAAAGGAAAUUUUAGGCUAGUAAGCAUGACCUCAGAAGUUGGGAAGAUGUUGGAGUUGAUGAGUAAGGAUGAGGUUUUGGGAUACUUGGAGGUACAUGAUAAAAUAAGCCAAGUCAGAAUGAUUUCCUUAAGCGAAAAGCAUGUCAGACAAACCUGUUGGAAUUCUUUGAGGCCAUAAUAAGCAGGAUAGACAAAGGAUUGUCAGGGGAUGUUGUUUCCUUGGAUUUUCAGAAGGCCUUUGAUGAGGUGCCACACAUGAGGCUGUUUAACAAGUUAAGAGCCCGUGGGAUUACAGGAAAGAUUUUAGCAUAGAUCAAUUGGUUGAUUGAUUGAAGGCAAAGAGUGGGAAUAAAGGCAGCCUUUUCUGGUUGGCUGCCAGCAUCAAGUGGCAGGAAUUGCUUCUUUUGGAUGAUGGAAUUGUGGCCAAGUUUGCCAACAAUAUGAAGUUAAUGAAGGGGCAGGUAUUGGUGAGGAAGCAGGGAUUCAGCAGAGGAUUGAGGCAGAUUGGGAGAAUGGGCAAAGAAGUUACAGAUGGAAUACAGUAUCGGGAAGUGUAUGGUCAUCCACUUUGGUAGAAGAAAUAAAGCGUAGACUAUGUUCGAAAUGGGUAGAAAAUUUAAAAAUCUGAUGUGUAAAGGGACUUGGGAGUUAUUCUGCAGGAUUCUUGAAAGGUUACCCUGUAGGUUGAGUUGGUGGUAAGGAAGGCAAAUGCAAUGUUAGCAUUCAUUUUGGGAGGACUAGAAUAUAGAACAUAGAACAAUACAGCACAUUACAGGCCCUUCGGCCCACAAUAUUGUGCCGACCCUUAAACCCUGCCUCCCAUAUAACCCUCCACCUUAAAUUUCUCCAUAUACCUUUCUGGUAGUCUCUUAAAUUUCACUAGCAUAUCUGCCUCCACCACUGACUCAGGCAGUGCAUUCCACGCACCAAUCACUCUCUGAGUAAAAAACCUUCCUCUAAUAUCCCCCUUGAACUUUCCACCCCUUACCUUAAAACCAUGCCUCUUGUACUGAGCAGUGGUGCCCUGGGGAAGAGGCACUGGCUGUCCACUCUGUCUAUUCCUCUUAAUAUCUUGUAUACCUCUAUCAUGUCUCCUCUCAUCCUCCUUCUCUCCAGAGAGUAAAGCGCUAGCUCCCUUAAUCUCUGAUCAUAAUGCAUACUCUCUAAACCAGGCAGUAUCCUGGUAAAUCUCCUCUGUACCCUUUCCAAUGCUUCCACAUCCUUCCUAUACUGAGGCGACCAGAACUGGACACAGUACUCCAAGUGUGGCCCAACCAGAGUUUUAUAGAGCUGCAUCAUUACCCCGCGACUCUUAAACUCUAUCCCUCGACUUAUGAAAGCUAACACCCCAUAAGCUUUCUUAACUACCCUAUCUACCUGUGAGGCAACUUUCAGGGAUCUGUGGACAUGUACCCCCAGAUCCCUCUGCUCCUCCACACUUCCAAGUAUCCUGCCAUUUACUUUGUACUCUGCCUUGGAGUUUGUCCUUUCAAAGUGUACCACCUCACACUUCUCCGGGUUGAACUCCAUCUGCCACUUCUCAGCCCACUUCUGCAUCCCAUCAAUGUCUCUCUGCAAUCUUAGACAAUCCUCUACACUAUCCACAACACCACCAACCUUUGUGUCGUCUGCAAACUUGCCAACCCACCCUUCUACCCCACUUCCAGGUUGUUAAUAAAAAUCACGAAAAGUAGAGGUCCCAGAACUGAUCCUUGUGGGACACCACUAGUCACGACCCUCCAAUCCGAAUGUACUCCCUCCACCACGAGAAAGAGCAAGGACGUAAUGCUGAGGCUUUAUAAGGCAUUGGUCAGACCACCCUUGGAGUACCGGUAUUGUGAGCAGUUUUGGGCCCUGUAUCUGAGAAAAGAUGUGCUGCCUUUGGCCAGGGCACAGAGGAGGUUCACAAGAAUGAUUCCAGGUAUGAAAAGGUUAGCACACGAGGAACAUUUGAUGGCUCUGGGCCUGUACUCACUGGAGUUUAGAAGAAUGAAGGGACCUCAGGAAAACCUACUGAGAUAGAGAGGAUGUUUCCUAUAGCGGGGAGUCCAGGACCAGUGGGCACAGCCUCAUAAUGGAGACAAGUCCAUUUAGAACACAGAUGAGGAAGAUUUUCUUUAGCCAGAGUGUAGUGAAUCUAUGGAAUUAAUUGCCACAGGUGGCUUUACAGGUUGGUAUUUUCUUGAUUAGUCAAAGUGUCAAAGGUUAUGGGGAGAUGGCGGGAGAACGGGGUUGAAAGGGGUAAUAAAUUGGUCGUGAUGGAAUGGCAGGUCAGACUUCUAUCCAUGACUAAAUUAUUUUAAAUUGUGCUCCCAGCAGGAGUUUCCAACCCCAGGUCCAUGGAUCCCUUGCUUAACGGUAUCGGUCCUUGGCAUAAAAAAGGUUAGGAACCCCUGGCCGAAGGUAAUUCCUAAACACGCCUAUUCAUUGCUGCCAUCAAACUAACCCAUACAGAGCUGAGAAUGAAGGAAUAGGUUCUUUUUGUUGCAUCUGUGGAGGUAAGAGUUUCUCUGACUGUUAAGGCUCUAUGAGGGAUCAAGUCCAUGGUGUGUCAGGGAGGCACUGAUGUGGCAAUAUCAGUGACAACAGCUUUGCAGUAACUCAGUGCAUCGCCCUGCAUCUGCACAGGAGAAAAGGACAGGCCAUUCUCUCCCUUCAGUUGCUGCUCCUUCAAUAAGAUCAUGGACUAUCUGUACUUCAGCAGUACCCCUAACUAACAAAACUCGCUUGAUCACAGAUUGAAGGGCUCCUCUAGUAUUGACAGGGAGGGGAGAAUGGUUGAUUUGGGCAGCUCUGGAAUAUACACAAUGCAAAUUCAAUGUGGGUUUUGUUUCCUCACAGAGUAAAUGCUGGUUAAAGUGUCAGUAGGUCUCCUCUCGGUCACCCAUAGGAGUUUUCUCAACAAACUUACAGCUGGGGCUUCAUAGCUACAGCCACCCAUGUCCAAUUGUCCAAUCCUCACCUCCGGCACAGUCCGUGAAGCUCACACGUUCUCCAGGUCACUGGGUGGACUUCCUUCAGGUGCGCCAUUUCCCUCCCACCUCCGAAAAAUAUCUGGGUUGGUCAGUAAAUAGAAAACCUACAGCACAAUACAGGCCCUUCGGCCCACAACGCCAUGCUGAACAUGUCCUUACUUCAGAAAUUACCUCAGGUUACCCAUAGCCCUCUAUUUUUCUAAGCUCCAUGUACCAAAUUGUCCAGAAUAAAUAAUCCAGAUUGUUGUGAGUGAUAGAAUCUGGAGUGAACUCAUGGGAAUGUGGGUGAGGGGGAUAUUAAUGGAUAUUGUUUACUUAAAAUUUUCAAAAGACCUUUGACAAAGUGUCACAUAUGAGGCUGCUAAACAAGAUACAAGUCCAUGGUAUUACAGGAAAGAUAUGAGCAUGGAUAGAAGAUUGGCUGAUCGGCAGGAGGUAGAGAGUGGGAAUAAAGGGAUCCUUUUCUGGUAACUAGCAGUGUAAUGAAGGAGUCGGUGUUGUGAACAUUCACAUUAUAUGUCAAUGAUCUGGAUGAUGGAAUUGAUGGCUUUGUGGCCAAGACUGUGGAAGAUACAAACAUAGGUGGAGGGGCAAGUAGUAUUGAGGAAGCUGGGAAUCUGCAGAAGGACAGAUUUGUGGAAUGGGUUGAUAAAUGACAGGUAGAUUGCAAUGUAGGGCAGUGUAUGGUCAUGCACUUUGUUAGAAGGAAUAAACAUGUAAACUGUUCUCUAAAUGGGGAGCAAAGUCAAAAUUAGGAAGUGGAAAGGUACUCAGGUCUCCUUGUGCAGGAAUCCCUCCAUAGGAUUCUCUUCAAUAGAUGCUGCCCGACUUACUGAGUUCCCCCAGCAUUUUGUGUGUUUUGCUCAAGAUUUCCAGCAUCGGCAGAAUCUCUUGUGCUUAAUAGAACAAUGCUGCAUUCAAACAAUGCCUUUCACAACUUAAGGACACACCAAAGCAACUAGCAACCAAUGAGUUAAAAAGGAACUGGGCAACCAGUUGUGCAACAGCAAGUUCCCGUAAAGUGGGACUUGAUAGCACUCAGAUAUUCUCUGUAAAUGAUGCUGGUUGAGGAAUACACAUUUGUCAGAACACUUGGGAGAAUUCCCUGGUCCUUUUUAUUUUGAAAUACUGUUAUGGGAUCUUAGGGUAUUGCUAUAACAUAUCGUCUGAAAGGUAACUCCUCUGAUAGUGUAAUGCUCUGUCAGCAUUGUACAGGAACUUGGGCUCCACCAUUCCCUCGGGUGUCUCGCAUAGAUUGAAACUUGUAUUUCUCUUACCUCUUCAGCAAAAAGGAAGAAGGCAAAGCUUCUCUUAUCCCUACAUCACGUGAAGAAGAGGCAUGUGAGAUUAUCCAAAUACAAUUUGCCUCUGUGUCCAGGAAGGGACAGCACCUCUGGUGAAGGGGCCUGUCAAAUCCAUUCUGGGGCAGCUCACUCACCUUUGGUCCCCAGCGGACACUCAGCUCUCACCUGUGGCUCCAACUAGCUGUUUGCAUGUGACAGCGUCCACAGCCCAGUACAAAGGCGGGCUAGACCAGGUGAGGGUAGCUGGCAGGUCUCAUAUACCAGUGAGAUAGGGACCUGCCUGCCCCAGCACGUGAAGUCAGCUCCAGCGGACUGGGAGGAUGAGAUCCAAUGGCCUGCAACACUCUCCAAUGGAGAGUGAAGGCCAUGACAAGGCACCACAUGGUCAUCACAUGGUCAACCAAAGAAGACCCCAGAUGUGACGACUACUCGUACGACUGGACGUGGACCUCUGAGGUCCAGAAAGUGGAACUGCCCCAAUGCAAUGGCUUUUCCACUUCAAAAACUCUCCCGCACAGGUUUCCUAUUAUCAUCAGAUACAACGGACAACCACCUCAAAUUUGCUUUAGUAAAACAGAGA